AGUGAACGCUGGCGGUAGGCCUAACACAUGCAAGUCGAACGGCAGCACAGUAAGAGCUUGCUCUUACGGGUGGCGAGUGGCGGACGGGUGAGGAAUACAUCGGAAUCUACUUUUUCGUGGGGGAUAACGUAGGGAAACUUACGCUAAUACCGCAUACGACCUACGGGUGAAAGCAGGGGAUCUUCGGACCUUGCGCGAUUGAAUGAGCCGAUGUCGGAUUAGCUAGUUGGCGGGGUAAAGGCCCACCAAGGCGACGAUCCGUAGCUGGUCUGAGAGGAUGAUCAGCCACACUGGAACUGGAACACGGUCCAGACUCCUACGGGGGGCAGCAGUGGGGAAUAUUGGACAAUGGGCGCAAGCCUGAUCCAGCCAUACCGCGUGGGUGAAGAAGGCCUUCGGGUUGUAAAGCCCUUUUGUUGGGAAAGAAAAGCAGCAGGUUAAUACCCCGCUGUUCUGACGGUACCCAAAGAAUAAGCACCGGCUAACUUCGUG
This 492-nucleotide ribosomal RNA is filed under the name uncultured bacterium. RNAcentral describes it as "partial 16S ribosomal RNA". It matches the Rfam family "Bacterial small subunit ribosomal RNA", at positions 29 to 507 of the family's 1533-position model. The record is from RNAcentral.